Molecule: long non-coding RNA, 632 nt
Organism: Monopterus albus (swamp eel)
Lineage: Eukaryota; Metazoa; Chordata; Actinopteri; Synbranchiformes; Synbranchidae
Exons: 2
Source: RefSeq, a predicted model, not a curated record
CAGUGUGCCAACGAGAGCAUCCCCCUGAAGCUCCCAUUCUUUGUGUGCCUAUGAAAUGUCCCCACCAAGGUUUCAGCUCUCCAGUGUGGCGACGAGGAGGCUGACACCACCACUGAACUUGUUCCUGAGUAGGUCAAAGCUGCCUCCACUCCAGUUCCUGUACAGCUCGACACCACCAUUGUCCCUGUUCCUGAGUGGGUUGACACCACCUCUGGUCCUGUCCCCAAGUGGGUCAAUGUCUCAGCCAUCCCAAUUCCUGCAUCAUGGCGAGUCAACAAUGAUGCCACUCCUCCUGUCCCUGUAACUCAGUGGGUUGAUGACAAUGCUACAAUUCUUGUACCUGACUCCAGUCUGUUUACCCUGCCUUGUUCCUUGACCAUCCUCCACGGACUGUUCUCCUCCAGACUAUUACUCCACUCCACCCUUCCACAGUCAUCAGAUCCUAUCUACCACCCACCGGCCAGACCGGGAGUGACCCUAGCGUCUGUAGCUCAGCCUAUCUCAUCAUUUCCAUCUGUCAUCUGUUAUUCUCUGCUAGCUGAUCAGAACCCGGUCCUACAUUUCCUAGUUGUUUCCUUAUCAUGUCUCUUAUAUAUAUUGUACAGCACAAAAUAAAUUCUGCUUGCACUGAA